Molecule: ribosomal RNA, 2111 nt
Filed under: human gut metagenome
Description: bacterial LSU rRNA
Rfam family: Bacterial large subunit ribosomal RNA
Source: RNAcentral
GCAGGUUGAAGCGCGGGUAAGACCGCGUGGAGGACCGAACCCACCUGGGUUGAAAACCGGGGGGAUGACCUGGGGCUAGGGGUGAAAGGCCAAUCAAAUUCCGUGAUAGCUGGUUCUCUCCGAAAUGCAUUUAGGUGCAGCGUCGGUCGAUUGCGUCGCGGGGGUAGAGCUACCGGAUGCUUGCGGGCCCUUGUUGGGUACCAACAGCAGCCGAACUCCGAAUACCGUUGACGUGUAUUCCGGCAGUGAGUCGGCGGGGGAUAAGCUCCGUCGUCGAGAGGGAGACAGCCCAGACCGUCGUCUAAGGUCCCGAAGCGUGUGCUAAGUGGGAAAGGAUGUGGAGUCGCAUAGACAGCCAGGAGGUUGGCUCAGAAGCAGCCAUCCUUGAAAGAGUGCGUAACAGCUCACUGGUCUAGUGGUUCCGCGCCGACAAUGUAGCGGGGCUCAAGCACACCACCGAAGACGCGGCAGCAAUCUUCAUGGUUGCUGGGUAGGAGAGCGUCCUGCGAGGGGCGAAGCGGCGGUGGAAACCGGCCGUGGACUUCGUGGGAGUGAGAAUGCAGACAUGAGUAGCGAGAGACGGGUGAGGAUCCCGUCCGCUGGAUGACCAAGGGUUCCGGGGCCACGUUCGUCGUCCCCGGGUGAGUCGGGUCCUAAGGCGAGGCCGACAGGCGUAGUCGAAUGGAUGAACGGGUGGAUAUUCCCGUACCGACCAUGGACCGGCAAAACCGAGACGGUGAGUACUAACCUCCGCCUCGUGGUGGUUCCUUCCUUCGGGUUGGUGUCGCCGCGUGGCGUUGGGACCGUAGCCGUAGUAGGUCAGCGCAGGGGUGACACGGAAUGGGAGCCGGCCGCGGAGGUGGUUUUCCGUGGUCAAGCACGCAGCCAGUCAUGUAGGCAAAUCCGCAUGGCGCGCAUGGCGAGGUGUGAUGAUGGGAGCCUUUUGGGCUCGAUAUCCGGUUGUCCAGGCCGUCGAGAAAAGCCUCGGCGUGAGGGCCAUGGCCGCCCGUACCCCAAACCGACACUGGUGGUCAGGUAGAGAAUACCAAGGCGAUCGAGCGAAUCCUGGUCAAGGAACUCGGCAAAUCACUCCCGUGCCUUCGGUAUAAGGGAGACCCGCUGGGGUGAACCGGCUAGCCCGGGGAGCUUUGGUGGGUGGCACAGACCAGGGGGUAGCGACUGUUUACCAAAAACACAGGUGCAUGCGAAGGCGAAAGCCGCUGUAUAUGCACUGACGCCUGCCCGGUGCCGGAAGGUUAAGAGGAUCCGUCAAUCCCUUCGGGGACGAAGCGGUGAAUUCAAGCCCCGGUAAACGGCGGUGGUAACUAUAACCAUCCUAAGGUAGCGAAAUUCCUUGUCGGGUAAGUUCCGACCUGCACGAAUGGCGUAACGACUUCCCCACUGUCUCGACCAGGAGCUCGGCGAAAUUGCAGUACGAGUAAAGAUGCUCGUUAAGCGCAGAAGGACGAAAAGACCCCGGGACCUUUACUAUACCUUGGUAUUGGCGUUAGGCGCGGAUUGUGUAGCAUAGGCGGGAGGCUUCGAAGCGGGUGCGCCAGCAUUCGUGGAGCCGCAAGGUGAAAUACCGCUCUGUUCUCGUUUGACGUCUAACCUCGACAAGUCAUCCUUGUCAGGGACAGUGCCUGGCGGGUAGUUCAACUGGGGCGGUUGCCUCCCAAAGAGUAACGGAGGCGCUCAAAGGUCCGCUCAGCCCGGUUGGCAAUCGGGUGUCGAGUGUAAUCGCACAAGCGGGCUUGACUGCGAGGACGACGGUCCGAGCAGGGACGAAAGUCGGAGAUAGUGAUCCGGUGCCGGCGCACGGGCGCGGCAUCGCUCAACGGAUAAAAGGUACCCCGGGGAUAACAGGCUGAUCAUUCCCAAGAGUCCAUAUCGACGGGAUGGUUUGGCACCUCGAUGUCGGCUCGUCGCAUCCUGGGGCUGGAGCAGGUCCCAAGGGUUCGGCUGUUCGCCGAUUAAAGCGGCACGCGAGCUGGGUUCAGAACGUCGUGAGACAGUUUGGUCUCUAUCCUCUGCGCUCGUUGGAAUCCUGAGGAGGCCUGCCCAUAGUACGAGAGGACCUGGGUGGACGAACCUCUGGUAUGCCGGUUGUC